Homo sapiens (human) is the source of this 4825-nucleotide long non-coding RNA. Ensembl annotates it as COPS8 divergent transcript. Its record names the gene COPS8-DT. The record is from Ensembl. NCBI's taxonomy places the organism in Eukaryota, Metazoa, Chordata, Mammalia, Primates, Hominidae.
GACAUCGCUGCGGCCGGGAUAGGGCGCCGCCGUUCUGGCCGGCUUUCUCGGUGCCCUGGAGGACCUGGCCGGCUCCGCGGGAAGCUGUACUCAGAGCGCGCGGCCGCCCUCUGGCAGGGAGGAGUUCGUUGCACUUUUGAGGGUUCUUCACGAAGACAUCCAAUACAUAGAAAACAAGUAACAGCAACAGUAACGAAUUUUUAAAUAUUAAAAUUGCUGGGGAACACGACGGAUCCUGCAGCUGCUCGGCUGUCCCGGUCGUCAGUGACGCUAGGGCUCCGCACCGUACCCUGCAUACCGUAGGUGCUCACGAAACGUUCGUGAGUUCCCUGCUCUGAGGAAACAAGCUUAAAAACUCAGAAUCUAAGGUGUGAGUCUCCGCAAACCUGCUUGUUGGGCAGCGUCCCCCGCCCGGGCUAGCCCUGCACGCCCCACCCCGGAGCCACGCUUCUCCAGCCGGGACCCCUGCCUCCUUCCAGGCUAUUCUCGGAACCGCAGCCAGAGGGAAUUUUUUUUUCCUUUCCUGAAACGUAGAGCAGAUCUGGUUACUCUUCUGCACAACGCCCUAAAAUCUAGGGCCCUUCCCAUCCCUCAGAAUUUACAUCUAAUUCUCAGCUCCCCUCCGGCUUGCUGUAGCCAUCCUGGCUUUUGUUUAGCACAGCACUUACUGUUAGUGACAUUAUAUUGUAUAUUAUUAACAUAUUUGUGUUUUACAUCCCUCACUAGACCCCCAGGAAAGAGGCUUUGAUGUGUUGCCUGCUGCAAGGCUGGCUGCAUAAUUUGUGGAGCUCAGAGAAAAGUGCGGAGCUUCCUUGUUCAAAAAACAGAAAGAAAGUGCCUCUGAGGUCAUAAAAUAUAAAACUUUCUCUUUCCUCUCAGUUUCUCUCUUUUCAUAGUGUUUUUAUGUGUUAUUUAAUAUCAUUCCAAGAAAAAUUUAGAUUUAAAUUGUUAGCAUGAAGUUCACCAUCCAUCUUUACGUUGUGCAAUGCCAGUUUUAAAUACUAAUAUAAGUGCACUGAUCUCAUAUGUGGAAUCACAGAAAUUAUGCAAUUUGUACUUCAUAGCUUAUACAUGCAUAUAGAUUUUGUUUUUACCAGAACCACGCUGGUAAAAACAGAUGCUGCACAAAGUGAACUUGCCCGUUUUCAUCGCACUUUACGUGCACGAAUUCUACCUCUACUCUCGACCUGGGACUCACCGAUGCGUAAGGAAGGACUGAAAAGCAAAAGAACUAUGGACUGGCCUUUUGGCAUGAUCAGGUGUCUAAUAUAAAGAAGUGCAUGAAUAAGAAAAUAUAUGAUAUGAGUGAUGGUUAAUACUGACUGUCAACUUGAUUGGAUUGAAGGAUGCAAAGUAUUGAUCCUGGGUGUGUCUGUGAGGGUGUUGCCAAAGGAGAUUAACAUUUGAGUCAGUGGGCUGGGAAAGUUCGACCCACUGUUAAUCUAGAUGGACACCAUCUAAUCAGAUGCCAGUGCAGCUAGAAAUGUAAAGCAGACAGAAAAAUGCGAAAAGAGAGACUGGCCUAGCCUGCCAGCCUACAUCUUUCUCCCACGCUGGAUGCUUCCUGCCCUCGAACAUCAGACUCCAAGUUCUUCAGUUUGGGACUUGGACUGGCUCUCCUUGUUCCUCAGCUUGAAGACUGCCCAUUGUGGGACUUGUGAUCAUAGGUGGAGCACCUAUCCAGUGAGGCUGUGAGGAAGGCCUUAUACCAAGAAUAGGAGAAAGCUAGAAGGAGCCCAUACCUCUGACUGCCCUUGACUGCCCACGCAAGAACUCAUGCUGGAAAAACAAAGCCCUGUUUAGGUGCCAUGAUAAAUAAGCCAGUUUGAGUCACUUGGUCUAAUAUCGAGACCACGAACAUAUUGAUCACAGAAUGUGUUAGGAUAACAGAAGUUCAAGAGGAAAGGACAGUGAGAGACCAUGACUAAAGAAUUACUCCGUGAACAACUCAGGAGGACCAGCUAUGAUUUCACUCUCAUUCAAAAAAGAGAAAUAAUAUUUCUUUCAGCUGCUACCCAUAAAAUAUUUUUGAAUGUGUGUACAAUGUUCAUGCUGUAAUGGCUGCUCUAUCAUGAAGGAUGUGUUGACACCUCGUGGGUGGCUUUUCACAAUCCCCUUGGACACAGAUUGGGGGAUUGACGGCCCCAUCCCCUCAUUUUCCACACCGAGGGGCAGUUGGGAUAUGCAUAAAAUCUUGUUCUCUAGUUAGGACCUGUUGCUAUAAAUCUAGCAUCAAGAGUAUCACUAUUUUCUAAACACUUUGCCAGACAGCCUUCGGAGUAUAAUUUUCUGAAGUUUAUAAAGCAUAACUCAUACACACACCUAGUGACCAUGUUCUGAAGGUAUAUUUAACUCCUGCAUGAGGGAACAGGCAGGAUGAAAGUGGGUUCUAAGGAAGAGACUAGCAUAUAUGAUCAACGGGGAAAAAUGAAGAGUAAGCUUGAAACCGCCUUUGCAAAAAUUAUAACCGAGGAGAUUAUGACAGUGAAGGAGAUCAGACCUAACCGACCCCAUCUUGCUUCUAACCUUUAAGCUGUCCUUGUUCAUUCCUGGGUGUAGGCCGAACUAACUUUGGGAAGGAAUUUGUUCGUGGUUUGACUCUGAAACAAAAAAAUUGAUAAUAGCCCUUUCCCGAAAAGACCGCCUUCUUGCCUGGGGACCAGUCUGCCUUUGCAGGACCAACAAAUUAACUACGAGAUUAGAAAUUACAGUUUAGGGGUCCUGCAGCCUCUGACUCCAAGAGUCUGACCCUCCCCACAUUGCUUCUGGGGAUAACAUCACUAUUAUAAAACCUAAGAUCAGUGCUUGAGAUAUUUUGCAGACCCUGCACUGGAUGGAUCAGCUGACACCACCCAGACCCGUAAUCUGGAUCAACCAGUUCUGCCAUCCCACCCAGGAACAGAAGAUGCAAGAAAAACUCACUUUGACCCUCUAUGAUUCCAUCUCCAACCUGACCAAUCAGUACUCCCCACUUCCCAAGCCCCUGCCUGCCAAAUUAUCUUUAAAAACUCUGAUCCCCGAAUGCUUGGAGAGGCUGAUUUGAGUAACAACACAACUCUGGUCUCCUGCACAGCCAGUUCUGUGUGAACUACCCUUCGCCCAUUGCAAUUCCCCUGUCUUGAUAAAUUGGCUCUGUCGAGGCAGUGGGCAAGGUGAACCCACUGGGCAGUUACAAGACUGCAAAGUUAGAAACAAAACUGGCAAUGCCCCAUGGGUCAAAAAUAAUCAAUUAAUUCAUAACAUUUGACUUGAUUAAGUUUUCUACUGGACAGAAACAAUUUGCAACUUAUCCUUCCUCUACAUUGUUUGACUGCCAUGUCAAUUGUAAGUAUUAGAUCAAAUUUUAAAAUAAUUAUUUUAGAGCUUCAGAUGCACCUUACAUGGGCUUGUUAGAUUGUUAGACACUGCUUAGUGACAUUGAAAGAGGGCACAAUACUUUUUUUGCCUUAUUUCUAAGUUGUGGGUAUCCUUUUCUUAACACUUCUUUUCUGUGAUUCUAUGCAAGACAAUCGUUGAUGAAAUGGGAUUUUCUGGAUGGAAAGUCCGUGUACUUUACUGAAACCUCUUUCUACAGUUCUGUCUUUCAAGUGGGAUUCUGUGAGCUGACUCAUGACAGCUGAGCAUCAUCGGAGAUUGGCUUCAAUGGUCCUCAAUGUGCAGAACAUAAAUAGCAAUUUCUACCAUCAUUCAAUAGCAUUUGUGGGUCCUUUUAUAUGGAGUAUAUAAAAGUAUUUGCAGGUCUUGGUUUAUCUGUCCCCACGUGACAUACCUAUAGAACAGGUAUUUUCAUCCCAGCUACUUAUUAUAAAUAUUUAAUAAGUAGGCUAAUGGUUUGGAAUUCUAUUUCUCUAUUUGCAUGAGUCAAAUAAUAGACCAAAUUCUUUCAAAAAGAGGAGAUGUUAACAUACCAAAAGAAACUGAAACAAGAGCAUUGAACCCACGGUGCCCUUCAGAAACACCUGCCAACAAUGGGGCAGAGUGUCCAGCUGCCUGGACAGUGUGUGCAGGGGCGGGGCCCUUCCUGUUCACAAUGGCUUUGCCUGGCAGUUAAAAUGCAAAUGGAGGGCAGACUGAGAGUGCAUCACCCUCUCACAUCUCAGAGUCUAAAAGGCGGCCUUUCAGUGCCUUCUGUUCAAAUUGCAAAUGCUCUUCCUUUAUCCCCCAAGGCCUGGGAGACAGUUCUGAAUAAUUCUUCCCCAACAAAUUGGCUUUCCUCUUCCCAGCAACAAAAGCCCUUAUUGGUUUUAAAAGUGCAAAGAACAAAUUUUAUUCAAGGGUCUUAAGGCAGAUGAAGGUUCACAGAAACUACAAGGGCAGUUCCAGGGCCUCCACGUACGACCGUGUCCCUAUAACGACUGGUCCUUAUAAGAGGCCAGCAACAGUAUCUUAUUUUCCUGUACAGGCCUGGGAUUCCCAGUAAUUUCUUUGCAUUGGCUUUGUAAGCACAAUUACCCAGAGUUUCCGAGAAUUGGGACAUUUCCAAGAAAUUGCCCAAUGGGUCAGUGGAGUGCUGUCAAAUGAGAUGGACCAUCUUAAAAUCAAAACGUGGGUGGUUUCUGCUCAUUGCUGAGCAUUUCACUUCCAUUCUGAAAAGUCUAAGAACGUCACUCCAGGAGAUACAAUGUCAAGGGCUCCCGCCACUCUUCAUCAUUGCCCAAGUCAUAAGAAUCAUCCCCCAAAUUCCUUCUAUUUCUCCAAGGUAGGGUAACCCAGGGCUGGGUAAGCCUGUUAGGGCAGGUCAGGUUGGCACAUACCGAGGAGGAACUCAGACAGACAGACAGCGCCAGGGGACCAGCGGCACUGUGUGCUCAUCACCACCCUCAGG